GCGGGAGAGCGGCCCUGCCCGCCGCCAGGUCCAGGUCCCUAGACCGUGGGUCUUCACUUUUCAAUUAAACCUCUCUGGAAACAGUCUCAUAGACACACUGAGAGGUAUCAGAAAACAUAGCAACUAAAAGCAGUUUCUGCAGAAAAUUGAGUGAAGUGCUAUCCAUAAUUCCAGGGGCUGGGGAUGGAGGAACAGUAAAACAAUCCAAGACUGGGAAAUUUCACUUUAAAAGCUGCGGGACCGGGUGGGACAGAAACCUCCAUCGACAGUGAAGGUGAGUGAACUAGCUCAGCAGAUAAAGACCUGUGUGGUGGCAGAAGAGGCCCGACUCCUGCAAGUUGCCUGCUGUCCUCCACAUAUGCAUCUUAGCAGCCACUCAUUAUUCCUCACCUCUGACACAAACACAAAAAAUAUAAUUCAACAUUUUUUGAACUGUUUGAUGAAAUAAUAGCUGUUGAAUUCAUGAAUCCAUGAACGACUUGAUGUGUGAAUCAAACAGUGGCAGGAAGUAGGAAGAUGCUGUGAUAACAGGGAAGGGGGCUGCUCUGGGAAAUGUGAACCAGAUCAGGAAUGCAGAGGUACAGAAGGGACAGGCAGUGUGGCCUGUGCUCCUGCAAUGUUCUUAGCAUGAGAACCGUGAAAAAAAAAAAUGUAACCCAUACGUACUCUACAUCUCAGGGUGGGCACAGUAGUCUGUGCUUUACCAAUCUCUCAGAGUUAGAUUGUGCUGUACAUUCCAUGCUAAUGAAGGGUUUCAAGUGUGAGUGGUCUUUGUUCUAGGAUCUCCAGGCAGGAGAAUAUAUCUAAAAGACAGUUUAUUAUGUCUAACUCAAAAAGGACAAUUGAAGUUCCUGGUUGCAAGUUGCAUGCUACCUGUAAUACAUAGGAUACCCCAAUUCAAACAAAACAUGGAAAUAAUAGAUAACAUACUAUAUUGCCAACUGAAAAGUUGACAAUUUUAUUUUUCUAAUUUCAAAUAUUAUCCACAUAAUAACUUAGGUCAGAGUGGAGUAGACAUGGCCAGGCAAGGGCUUGGUUUGCAGAGUCUAGGAAAGAUGAGUUUCAGUGGAAAAGAGACCUCGGCAUCCCUGAACAGGUCAGCAGUGGGCCUCUGCCUGCAGAACACACUGGGGUGGGGGCUGGGUCACAUUUCCUGGAGGAGACAGGAGCUUCCAGGGAAACGUUUAUCCUACUGGAAAAACGAGUCAGGAUGGAAAGACUGGAGAGAGAUUGUGUGGGACCCAGAGAGCAGGUGUGAAUGACUGAGACUGUUAAAAUGAGACAUCCAGAUGCGUAAGGGGAUAGGCAUCCCAGGUGCCUACACUGAGGGCCUGUCCUUUGCUCUGGGGCGAUUAUAGGCUUACUCCAGCACACAUAACUGAGAAAGAGUUGGACAGUCUCCAUCAAAGAAGAGUAGCUGGUCACUGCAUGACUGGGGAGGAGCAUGGUACAAGCAUAAGGAUCACUGCAGUUAAUCUUGAUUGUCCAAAGGUCUGGGAGCCCGUUCAGAGGUAAUGGGUCUGUAAUCCCACCCCUCAGGAUGCUGAAGCAGAAAGGUUAUUAGUUCUAGGUCAGUCUGGACCACAUCCUAGACCCUAUGCAAACAAAACAAACAACAAAAGAUACAGGAAGAGAGUGAGAAUGGAAGGAAGAUGCUCAGGCCACACCCUAGACCUGCUGCCCCAGAACUGAUCAUUGCCGAGGGCCCUGGGUGACCUGUGUGCUCGUCGGUGGAACUGCCCUCGGAGGCCUCUACCCAACCAGCAGCAUAUCCCGGAAGACAUCAAGGCGCUUAGAAUGGCAUUGUGCAGGUUGGUCAGCUCUGAAGCUAAAACCAGGUUGGCCCUCAUGUGAGGCAGCAAGAAGAUUAUGCACAUAGCCCAGGCAGAGAGAAGAGUAGAUGGUGCCAGUUAGCUAAAAGGGGUCCCUGCCCAACACAGGCAAGUUAAGACUUGUAGGGAUAGCCAGGAACUGUGCCGAGACUGAAGCUAGCAAGAUGCCCUUACUCUGUUUCUAACGAUUCUAAACUGAUGUGGGCCGAAAAGGUGGGUUGGGUUUGGGAAAAUGGAGCCAUAAGUAGUAUGGAUAAAUUUGAAGAGAUUUCAAAAACAAAAGUAAAAACAAAAAUCUUGCCAUCACUCCAACAUAUAAAGAUAGUUCCAUUUUCUAUUUUUCUUUACCUGGUCUGGUCUCCAUAGGCCCCAGCUCUGGAACCUAGCAGAAACAAUAAAUAUUUAAUUAAGAGUUUUAUUCUUCUCCAACCUUAACAUAACUGGUUCCUUUUAAACCUUCAUGCCAGUUGUUAAAGUCAAACAUGCUUCCGAGUCACUCGGAGGGCUUGUUAAAACAGAUUGUUGGCCUCCUCCUGGGGUUUCUGAUUCAGUAUAUUUUGGGUGGAGACCUUGAAUUUACAUUUCUAAUAAGUUCCCAGAAAGUACUGAUAUGUCUGGUCCACAGAUUUCCUAAACCUCUAAUGCAAACCAUUCAGAGUUGAAUUCUCAGGCACCAAGGGCAGUGUCUUAGUAAGACUUUAGAAUGAUGAUUCUCAAACUGAUCCAAAUUUCCAGUUGGUCAUGAACCACAUGCGAGACACUCACCUGUGCCACAAGGAACUCGCCAUGCCAGUUCAACACAGCUGAGCUGGGUUGUGUCCUGAUCAACAACGCAUGUCCUCUGAAAAAAUACAAGGAUGUCGUGGCAACAUCAAUCUGUAGUAAAAGUUUCUCCCCCACCCCUUUCUCUGUCUCUCUCUCCCACACACACACAGAAGUUUCUAAACAUGAGUUCUUAUAUUUAUCUUCAGACCAGUGACAGCGGACUGACACCACCUUUGAAUGCUCAAGUAACCGAAUUACAGGUCAGACAAGAAAAUGCAUGGUUUUGCUUACAUUCUCAGCCUUCCAUUUCCUUCUCAUUCCCAGGACAGCAUCUGGGUACCCAGUGGGAGCCGUAUACCCUAAUGACACCCAUAGAUUCCUCUGACUAGGCAACGAUUUCUACUAGAGAGGGUGAAUUUUUCUCCUUUUGGGUUUGGGUCUACUGGCCAGAGGCUCUGAGUCCAUUGAUGUAUCCUCACCCUUAAUAGGGAACAAGAUACCCUUGAGCCCUUUUUCCCCAUACAAAGCCAUGUUGGGACAGGAAUGUGUCCGGUGUACUAUCCCUGUGUUAAUGCUCAGACACACAGAAAGUAGUGCUGAGCCCCGAAAGCAGAAGAUCAAAGGGGAAUGCAGGCAGCUCAGAGGAUUUUGCAAACACGCUCUUGAGGAGCCAUUAUUAAGAACUAAAUAACCUGGAGCAGAGUCAGGAGGUCCUGAACAAAUGCAGCACGUCUUCCUAGUAAUUGCUAUGCAUUCGCUAAUGUGUCUGCUUGGUGCGGUUCCACCAUGCAGCUUGUACCACCUUUUUUCAGUGGCACAGCUUCCAAAACUUGAGCUACAAAGCCUUAUAAGUCAGGGCUUUGCUGUUGGGGAUAUUAUUUUAAGGUGUGCUGCUUUUGUUUAUGCUGCAUUUGUUUAACUCUGUGAAGCUGUGAUUCUUUGCCUGUCUACA
Molecule: long non-coding RNA, 3549 nt
Organism: Myodes glareolus (Bank vole)
Lineage: Eukaryota; Metazoa; Chordata; Mammalia; Rodentia; Cricetidae
Source: RefSeq, a predicted model, not a curated record